RNAcentral lists this ribosomal RNA (431 nucleotides) under uncultured bacterium. RNAcentral's name for it is "partial 16S ribosomal RNA". It matches the Rfam family "Bacterial small subunit ribosomal RNA", at positions 29 to 505 of the family's 1533-position model. The record is from RNAcentral.
AACGAACGCUGGCGGCAUGCCUAACACAUGCAAGUCGAACGAGACCUUCGGGUCUAGUGGCGCACGGGUGCGUAACGCGUGGGAACCUGCCCUUAGGUUCGGAAUAACUCCCCGAAAGGGGUGCUAAUACCGGAUAAUGUCUUCGGACCAAAGAUUUAUCGCCUUUGGAUGGGCCCGCGUUGGAUUAGCUAGUUGGUAGGGUAAAAGCCUACCAAGGCGACGAUCCAUAGCUGGUCUGAGAGGAUGAUCAGCCACACUGGGACUGAGACACGGCCCAGACUGCUGCGGGAGGGAGGAGUGGGGAAUAAUGGACAAGGGGCGAAAGCCGGACCCACGAGUGCGGGGGGAGGGAUGAAGGCUUUGGGGUUGAAAACCUUUUUUACCCGGGGUGAAAUAGAAAACCCGGGGAAAAAAAGCCGGGGAAAACCCCG